RNAcentral lists this ribosomal RNA (406 nucleotides) under uncultured bacterium. RNAcentral's name for it is "partial 16S ribosomal RNA". It matches the Rfam family "Bacterial small subunit ribosomal RNA", at positions 29 to 526 of the family's 1533-position model. The record is from RNAcentral.
AUUGAACGCUGGCGGCAGGCCUAACACAUGCAAGUCGAACGAGUGGCGGACGGGUGAGUAAUGUCUGGGAACCUGCCCGAUGGAUGGGGAUAACUACUGGAAACGGUAGCUAAUACCGCAUACCAUCGGAUGUGCCCCGAGGGGAUUAGCUAGUAGGUGGGGUAACGGCGCACCGAGGCGACGAUCCCUAGCUGGGCUGAGAGGAUGAACAGCCACACUGGAACUGAGACACGGUCCAGACUCCGACGGGAGGCAGCAGUGGGGAAUAUUGCACAAUGGGCGCAAGCCUGAUGCAGCCAUGCCGCGUGUAGGAAGAAGGCCUUCGGGGUGUAAAGUACUGUCAGCGAGGAGGCGUUACUCGCAGAAGAAGCACCGGCUAACUCCGUGCCAGCAGCCGCGGUAAUUC